Long non-coding RNA from Mus musculus (house mouse), 429 nucleotides. RefSeq annotates it as predicted gene, 46547. The record is from RefSeq and is a predicted model, not a curated record. The transcript has 2 exons. Lineage: Eukaryota; Metazoa; Chordata; Mammalia; Rodentia; Muridae.
UUUCAAUUUCUCUGAGAGGGGAGGCUGUAGUUCUGAGGCCUGUAAUCUUUCAUCUAGUCUGCAAAGCCUGAGCACAGACUUCUCUCAGACUCUCUCCUCACUUCAAUUUACUCCCUGCACUGUGAUCUUCUCUGAGCGCAGCCGCAGCGUAUCCAGCCCUUCAUGCUCUUGCCUCAAGCUGUGUGAGUGUUGUCAAAGCUCCUUCUGGGGUCGUUGGCUCGUAUUUUGACUUCUGCAUUCUGUCACGUUCUUUAGGGAUUUGUGGUACCGAUUUUUCAUCCUCUUGAGCUGUGUCCUCUCCCUCAUUUUAUGGGUGUGUCAUUUCAUCAGAAAACAUCACAGAGCAUCAGUUUGGUUUCUGCAUAGACACUUAUGUACAACGUUUAAUUGUUUCGCUUUACAAUUAAAAUUAAAUUUAUUUUUACUGUU